This 207-nucleotide ribosomal RNA is filed under the name uncultured bacterium. Its description in RNAcentral is "partial 16S ribosomal RNA". It matches the Rfam family "Bacterial small subunit ribosomal RNA", at positions 568 to 774 of the family's 1533-position model. The record is from RNAcentral.
CGCGUAGGCGGUUAUUUAAGUUGACUGUGAAAUACCAGUGCUCAACAUUGGGGGGUCAGUCAAAACUGGAUGACUUGAGAGCAGUAGAGGGAAGCGGAAUUCCUGGUGUAGCGGUGAAAUGCGUAGAGAUCAGGAGGAACACCGGUGGCGAAGGCGGCUUUCUGGGCUGCAACUGACGCUGAGGCGCGAAAGCGUGGGGAGCAAACA